AACGUACGCUGGCGGCACGCCUAACACAUGCAAGUCGAACGAAGUAGCAAUACUUAGUGGCAGACGGGUGAGUAACAUGUAGGUAUCUGCCCUUUGGCCUGGAAUAACACGAGGAAACUUGUGCUAAUACCGGAUAAGUCUUUACGGAGAAAGCUUUAUGCACCAUUGGAUGAGCCUGCACUUGAUUAGUUUGUUGGUGGGGUAAUGGCCUACCAAGACUGUGAUCAAUAGCUGAUUUGAGAGGAUGAUCAGCCACAUUGGGACUGAGACACGGCCCAAACUCCUACGGGAGGCAGCAGUGGGGAAUCUUGCACAAUGGAGGAAACUCUGAUGCAGCGAUGCCGCGUGAGUGAAGAAGGCCCUUGGGUUGUAAAGCUCUUUCGUCGGGGAAGAAAAUGACUGUACCCGAAUAAGAAGGUCCGGCUAACUUCGUGCCAGCAGCCGCGGUAAUACGAAGGGACCUAGCGUAGUUCGGAAUUACUGGGCUUAAAGAGUUCGUAGGUGGUUGAAAAAGUUAGUGGUGAAAUCCCAGAGCUUAACUCUGGAACUGCCAUUAAAACUUUUCAGCUAGAGUAUGAUAGAGGAAAGCAGAAUUUCUAGUGUAGAGGUGAAAUUCGUAGAUAUUAGAAAGAAUACCAAUUGCGAAGGCAGCUUUCUGGAUCAUUACUGACACUGAGGAACGAAAGCAUGGGUAGCGAAGAGGAUUAGAUACCCUCGUAGUCCAUGCCGUAAACGAUGUGUGUUAGACGUUGGAAAUUUAUUUUCAGUGUCGCAGGGAAACCGAUAAACACACCGCCUGGGGAGUACGACCGCAAGGUUAAAACUCAAAUGAAUUGACGGGGACCCGCACAAGUAGUGGAGCAUGUGGUUUAAUUCGAAGAUACGCGCAGAACCUUACCAACACUUGACAUGUUCGUCGCGACUCUAAGAGAUUAGAGUUUUCGGUUCGGCCGGACGAAACACAGGUGCUGCAUGGCUGUCGUCAGCUCGUGUCGUGAGAUGUUGGGUUAAGUCCCGCAACGAGCGCAACCCUCACUUUUAGUUGCCAUCAUUAAGUUGGGCACUCUGAAAGAACUGCCAGUGAUAAGCUGGAGGAAGGUGGGGAUGACGUCAAGUCCUCAUGGCCCUUACGUGUUGGGCUACACACGUGCUACAAUGGUAUCUACAACAGGAAGCAAGACUGCGAAGUUAAGCAAAUCCCUAAAAGAUACCUCAGUUCGGAUUGCGCUCUGCAACUCGAGUGCAUGAAAGCUGGAAUUACUAGUAAUCGUGGAAUCAGCGUGCCACGGUAAAUGCGUUCCCGGGUCU
This 1308-nucleotide ribosomal RNA is filed under the name uncultured bacterium. RNAcentral describes it as "bacterial SSU rRNA". It matches the Rfam family "Bacterial small subunit ribosomal RNA", at positions 28 to 1381 of the family's 1533-position model. The record is from RNAcentral.